Molecule: ribosomal RNA, 438 nt
Filed under: Thyene imperialis
Lineage: Eukaryota; Metazoa; Arthropoda; Arachnida; Araneae; Salticidae
Description: partial 16S ribosomal RNA
Rfam family: Bacterial large subunit ribosomal RNA
Source: RNAcentral
UUCUAUUAGAUUAAAUUAUUAAUAGUAAAGUCUGCUCAAUGAAUAUUUAAAUAGCCGCAAAUAGUGCUAAGGUAGCAUAAUCAUUUGUCUUUUAAUUGAGGACUAGAACAAAAGGCUUAAUAUUUUCAAUUUAUUUACCCAAAUUAAUUUAUUUAACUUAUCCUAAAUGUAAAAAGACAUUUAUUUCUAAGAAAGACGAUAAGACCCUAUUGAACUUAACUUAAGUUAAACUGGGGCAGUUAAUCAAUUAACAUUUUAUAUUUAAAUAUUUAAAUUAACAUCCUUUAACCAAAGAAUUAAUCAGUUACCAUAGGGAUAACAGCGUAAUUAUAUAUUAAAGUUCUUAUUAAAUACAUAGAUUGCGACCUCGAUGUUGAAUUAAUUACCUAAUUAGGGCAAGACUUACAUAAAGGAGGUCUGUUCGACCUUUAAACAAUU